Molecule: ribosomal RNA, 467 nt
Filed under: uncultured bacterium
Lineage: Bacteria
Description: bacterial SSU rRNA
Rfam family: Bacterial small subunit ribosomal RNA
Source: RNAcentral
GUUUGAUCCUGGCUCAGGAUGAACGCUGGCGGCGUGCCUAAUACAUGCAAGUCGAACGAGGUGCUUGAGUAGCAAUACAAGAGUAUCCUAGUGGCGAACGGGUGAGUAACGCGUGGAUGACCUGCCCCAAAGUGUGGGAUAACAGUCCGAAAGGAUUGCUAAUACCUCAUGUGGUUAUCGGGUUUAGAAACUGAUAACUAAAGCAGCAAUGCGCUUUGGGAGGGAUCUGCGUCCCAUCAGCUAGUUGGUGAGGUAACGGCUCACCAAGGCGACGACGGGUAGGGGACCUGAGAGGGUGGCCCCCCACAAUGGAACUGAAACACGGUCCAUACACCUACGGGUGGCAGCAGUAGGGAAUAUUGCUCAAUGGGCGAAAGCCUGAAGCAGCAACGCCGCGUGUGCGAUGAAGGCCUUCGGUCGUAAGCACUUUCUGAGAGAUGAGAAAGGACAGUAUCUCAGGAAUAAGU